UGGAGUGCUUGCACAAGUCAGAUUUGGUUUACCACUUAGUGGCAGACGGGUGAGUAACACGUGGGUAACCUACCUCAAAGACUGGGACAACAGUUGGAAACGACUGCUAAUACCGGAUAAUCCAUAUUUAGAUAACUUAGAUAUGUUAAAAGAAGCGUUUGCUUCACUUUGAGAUGGGCUUGCGGCGCAUUAGAUAGUUGGUGGGGUAAUGGCCUACCAAGUCGACGAUGCGUAUCCGAGCUGAGAGGCUGAUCGGACACACUGGGACUGAGACACGGCCCAGACUCCUACGGGAGACAGCAGUUAGGAAUAUUCGUCAAUGGGGGAAACCCUGAACGAGCAAUGCCGCGUGAGUGAUGAAGGCCCUAUGGGUCGUAAAACUCUGUUAUAAGGGAAGAAACCUUGGUAUAGGAAAUGAUAUCAAGCUGACGGUACCUUAUCAGAAAGCCCCGGCUAACUACGUG
This 464-nucleotide ribosomal RNA is filed under the name uncultured bacterium. Its description in RNAcentral is "bacterial SSU rRNA". It matches the Rfam family "Bacterial small subunit ribosomal RNA", at positions 47 to 507 of the family's 1533-position model. The record is from RNAcentral.